CUGCUGCCUUCCGUAGGAGUCUGGUCCGUGUCUCAGUACCAGUGUGGGGGACCUUCCUCUCAGAACCCCUAUCCAUCGUGGACUUGGUGAGCCGUUACCUCACCAACUAUCUAAUGGAACGCAUGCCCAUCUAUCAGCGAUAAUUCUUUAACAAAUAUUUCCAUGUGGAACCCCUGUUUUAUGCGGUAUUAGUCCGACUUUCGCCGGGUUAUUCCCCUCUGAUAGGUAGGUUGCAUACGCGUUACUCACCCGUGCGCCGGUUCG
Molecule: ribosomal RNA, 264 nt
Filed under: uncultured bacterium
Lineage: Bacteria
Description: partial 16S ribosomal RNA
Source: RNAcentral